CACUCAAUUCAGAAUGAUGAGUUUGCUCAGCUUUUGCACAUGCGCAGAACACUGCCCCUGCAAAAUUGUGUGUGUCAACCCGUGCAUCCAGCAUCCUCCCUCACCUCAUGGAACAAAUUGAAAACUAAGCCUGCGCGGUGCGGUUGAAAUUGUGAAGAAUUAGAAGAAGAAUUACAAAAGGAGGAGCUGCGGCGGUGAUCAUGUAGAGCUGCGUGUGGCGGAGGUUGAAAGCAGAUGGCCAGCAUUGUUUUCAGAAAGACAAAUUGCUGCUGAGUUCACGCGUCUUGUGGCU
Molecule: long non-coding RNA, 292 nt
Organism: Gymnodraco acuticeps
Lineage: Eukaryota; Metazoa; Chordata; Actinopteri; Perciformes; Bathydraconidae
Exons: 3
Source: RefSeq, a predicted model, not a curated record